AGGUUUUGUGUCCACGUCUUGGGGGUAGGGCAUGACAAAUCUCGUCCUUUCCGACCUCCGACCAGACCCGAAACCCCUUUGCUAUUCUCCUACAAACAACCCGAACAACCACCCAAAACCCCUUUCCCUUUCCCCCUUUGCUAUUCUCCUACAAACAACCCGAACAACCACCCAAAACCCCUUUCCCUUUCUCGCUUUUGCUGCUACAGCAAAACAACAACUAAAACCUCAAACGCAGAGAAAAAACAACCUCCAAAUCCACCCAAAGAACCAGAAUUUAAAACCGGGCUUUCCCCCUUUAUUUUGAUUUUCGUUUGUUUUUGCAGGUUAUAAGAAAUCUUGACCCCCACGGACGAAACCCAAUCUCCGUUCUCCAUUUCUCCGGUUACCAGACCUCCAUUAAACGAGCACCGAGUUCUCAUUCUGAUCGAAUUUUCCAUCUCUAGUGAUUAGCAGAUCCAACUUUUUGCUUUCUCAGGUAAAAGUUGUUUAUUUAUUUUUUUCUUUUGCUGCUUGUUCAGAUUAUUGAGGAUGAACUUAGUAUUACCUUCUAAUUUAAUUUGCAUUUUUUCAUGGUGAUUAGAGCAUCUAUUCAGUUCUAGUGUUUAGAUUGCAGAAUGUUAAGUUAUUAAGUUACUGGUUUUUUGAUAAAUUUUAUGGCUUCUAUUGAGUGAUUAUUAGUUUUCUAUUAUUUUUAUUUUGUUUAAUAUUCAUUGUUCUGGUUUAAUUGUUAUUAUUUUAUUAUAGUUAAUAAUUGUUGGAUGAUUAAUUUUUUAUUUAUUUGUUUCUAUGAUUUGUUAUAGUACACAUUUGUAAUCACUCUUCAUUAUUUUAAUAUAUUGGUAUAAUAGUGAACACUAAAUUUAGUGAGGUUUCUCUUCUUGUUAUUGAGUUUUUUUUAGAAUUGUUAUUUUGCUUAAGCAAGUUUAUUGUGGUGAUGAGUCAUUUAGGUGGCUAGGUUAGUGUUGCUCGCUUUGAACUUGAAGAUAUUAGUAAAGCCAUUUGAUAAGAAUAUUUUCAUGUUUACUUUUGAUCCUUUCUUAUCUUUCAUUGUUUGAAUAAAUUCAUAAACGUUGUUAAUUGAAAUUGACUAAUGAAAAAAAAUCCUUGAUUUUAGAAGUCUCUCUAUUUUAAAAGACAGAAAUUUAAUUUAAUUUCAUAUUUUGUUUAUUAAAAUUGGACGAUUAAGAGAUUACCGUCAAUUUCUAAGGCCUCCUAUGUUAAUAAGAUAAAUUUUUAUUUUUAAGUUAUUAUUUGAUCUAUUCCUAUUUAUUCAUGUUCCUAUAAAGCUAUUCAACUGAAGUUCAAAUUUUAUUCUUUAUUCAUUAUCUUGUAUAUAUCGAUAUUAGGAAAACCUUAAGCUGAUAUUAUUGUUUUAUUUUAGUAUCGUGCAUAUUGCAUGUUUAUUAUACUUGUAUAUUAUUCUUAUCUCCUCCUCAACUAAGUCGGGAACCACCGUUAUGAAUUUCGAAGGAUGUCUAACACCUUCCCUUCAAAAUAACUUGAACCCCCCCUUACCUAGAAUAUGUUGGUUUCGUAGAUAUUUAUUUUAAGUUAAAUUUGUUAAUUGGUUUCCUAGUUUUCCUAAAAACAUAGGUAGCGACUGCCUUUUACCCUUUUUAAGAAUUCUUUUUAAACUGAAUUAUUGUUUUUGGUGUGUCACCGCGAUGUUGCGCUCUCUCAAAAGAUGUCAACAUAUAUGACCUGUUUCAAAAGUCUGUUUCGAUUAAGAAUGCGGUCACACAUAUAUUUUUUAGGACAUUAAGAUUAACUCAAAGAUGCAAUAAUGUACCUUUUCCAAUAAUAUAAUUAUAUUUCACUUAUGUAAAUUGACAAUUUUAUAUAAAAUUAUUAAGUGUGAUGCAAUCUUGGGACAUUAAAAUUAACUCUAGGAUGCAAUAAAACAACAUGUCCAAAAAUAUAAUUAUAUUUCCUUUAUGUAAAAUAAUGUUUUAAGAUAAAAUUAUUAAGCAUGAUGCAAAGAAGAUAAUUAUAUUUCUAAAUAUUAAGACCAAGAAUGUUGUUGUAUCUAGGUCGAGACCAAAUAAAGGUUCAACAAAUAAAAAUGUGAGAAAAUCAUGACCUACAAAAAUAUAUCCAAAAGAUACCUAAAAUAAGUUUAAGUCAAUAAAUGUGAUCGUGUAAGAACCACAGAACUCGAGGGAUGCCUAAUACAUUCUCCUCGGUCAACAAAUUUUUUUACCCCAAAUUUCUAGUUCGCACACCAAAUAAGGUGUCACACCCCGAGCCUACACCCUGGACAGGAUUGUCACUCAGAGACAAUUGUUGUCCUCGAGCAGACCCUUGUUCGGGUUUACUUAAAACAUCAAAAAACUAUAUGCAUUUUUUCAUAAGAUCUAUGAAGCCUCUAAAACCACUGAGAUGCAUGUUGAGACAAAUCCCUCUAGAUCCUAAUGAACUGAACUAGAAAGAAAAUAAAAGAUUCCUCCAGAAUGCAAGAAGGCUCUUUAAUAGACUCCGAAUGCUCAAGCUCGAUCAACAUGUAUCGUGGUUCCCUGCAUCUGCUUCAUAAUAAGAUGCAGACCAACUGACAUCAGUAAAUUGAACAAACGAGUAUGCGAGUUCGAAUGCUAAAACAACAUAGGCUUGAAAGGUAAAUCUGAGAAACUUACCUAGUUCAACUUGACUCAGCAAUAUUGGACUCAUUUCAAUAUAAUAAUUUAAAAGAAAGUGCAAUCUACAGAAAAGUUGUUUAAAACAUGAUGUGAGCUCUGUGUAUACACAAGGAUACAAUAUAACUCUGAAAUAUAUUUAGAAAGACAAAUAACUGUGCAUAUAGAAAUACAAUUACUUUUGUGGAAGUUUCUCGAACCGGAAACAAUUACAUAAGAGCUAUGGUAAUGAUACCCCGAUCUAUCUUAUGCUGCUAGCACAUCCUAUACACGGCCAAAGGUAUAGGACCUGAACUACUAAAUAGAUCCACUAGUUUAUAGUGAAAAGGAUUCAUCUAAAAAGUAUGACCCUUCUCUACCCAUGGUGGCUACAUGGUUAUAUGGAGACGUGAGUUAUCUGAACUCAUGAUCGUCCCCAAUUCGGUGCUCAAUACUACUCCCACAACAGACUAGUACUUACGUUUUAAAAACAUACUUCUUAAUGAUUUGAGAUUAAUGCUAAAAAACAUAGAUCAAAGUCUAUCUUGGAGAUCUCAAUUUCCCGUCUUGCUUUGUUUAUAAAGCUUUUAAUAUUUUCUAAAAACUAGCCCGAAAGGUGUUAGGAAAUCUCAGUUUCCGUUCUUACUUAAAUGUGAAAAUAUUUUAAAUCUCUUUGGGAAUAUCUAGUCCUGUAUAUAUAUUUUUUUUGAGAACAGAACUUCAAUUUCUCUUCACUGAACUAAAAAAUUAUGUCUUAAAUUAAAGUAAAAACAUUUGUGGAAAGAAUUUUGAAAAUGUUGAAUAAACUUCUCUUACUUGACUCUUGACUUUGAUCUUAACUACUCUUGACUUGAGUCUUUACUAAUCAUUUAGUUAAAUUAUGGAUUCAAGGAAUAUGAUUUGUGUUUAAAAAGAUCUCAUGAUGUUUGGGAAUGAUUUUAGAUAGCGCAACAUGAGAAAAGUCACGAAAUCACUCUCUUGGAAAAAAUUUGCGAUGUGGAGAUAUUUUAAGAAAUUACUCGUAAAAUAAAAUUUUGAGGUAGAUGAGUUUGUGUCCUAACCACGACGUGGAGAAACGUUUUUUUCUCACAAGGGGAGAAAGUGUUGCAAACUUGCUUGCCAGAUUGCGCUCGACUUUUACCUUCAUCAUUUAACAGCCCAAAUUCGACUAAACUAGAAUAUUUUCCCAAAUUCAUUUUAGAUUUUGAUACCCAACAUAUGUACUCAAUAACCUAACUCAAUACAACUAUAAAACUCAAUGUUAAGAUCUAAGAAACUCCACAAUUCAAUCCAAACCAAGAGAAACAUUCAAAUUCAAGAAUACAUAUCAAAAACAUCAACUUUCAAACUCUUUUGGGACAAAUUGCACGGAACUGAACAUGGUUGGCACGCGGAUGAACUAAAGCAAUGCUAUGAAGACACACAUACCUUGUAGGAUCAAUUCCUUGGCGAAUCCACAACAAAAAUUAUUCGUCCUUUCUGAUUCUUGUUUUUUCUCUUAACUUUUCUCUUGCGUUCUUUCUCCAAAAUUCCUAAUUCUUUUUUCAAAAGCGUAAACUAGACUAACUAAGUUAUGACCCCAAUAUAUUUACUAAAAACGAAAUUAAUUAGUUGGGCAAGGAAAAGACCAAACUACCUUUCUAAAAUCUACAUUGGCUAAUUCCUUAAUCGAAAAACUCAACUUUCAAAGGACAUAUCUUACUCAUAUGAACUCAAAAUUGCACACUCACCUAGAAGUUAUGGACACUUGAAGUUGACCAAAACUCUACGUUUCAUAACUUAAAAUGAUAAUUUCAAGUUAUAAAAUUCUUUCUAGCUAUUUCAAUUUGUGAGAUGUUACAAUACUCCCCCUUGGAAACAUUCAUCCUCGAAUGAGAUUACUCUUACUAGGCUAAAGGUGGUAACAUCUAGUUUAAACACCAAACGAGGAAAUUAAAACAAACAAUAGGCUCACUCAUAAUUUAAAGAGUACUAAGAAGAAAAUUAGUGCCUUGGUCUGCAUUUUCUCUGGAUUCACAGAUAUGUGGAUAUCUCUUUUUCAUAUCCUCUUCAACUUUCCAAGUGUUCCCUCAACAAAUUGAUUCAUCCAUAGAGCUGUGAUUGAUGUUAAUUCCUUGGUCCUCCUCAACUUGCAAACUUGGAAAUCUAGAAUCUGGACCAAAAACUCUUCAAAACAUAAGUUAUACUUGAUACUAAUAUACUGAGGACUAAGUUUCCCCUUCUAAAAAAACCUCAAUACCACACUUCUUGAGUGCAGCGUUCAAGUAUACUCAAUCAUCUGCUUCAAACCAUCCAAUAGGAUAUGUGUAUCUUAUCCCAUACAGAGCUUCGUAAGGAGCCAUCUGGAUACUAGAAUGGUAACUAUUGUUGUAGGAAAUUUCAAUGAGAGAUAGGUGAUCAUCUCAAUUACCCUUGAAAUCAAUUAUACAAUCUACCUUAAAUACUCAAAACACUAUCUCCUCCUUGUUCAAAAGACACCAACUUUUGCUUAUGAAAACUUGUCUUUAAUUCAAGCAAUAAAGGAUCUUAGUCUUUCUUCUACUCUUAGUUCUGACAAUAAUGAUGAUUCAACCCCAUUCAUCACCACUACCCCUCUUCUAUGAAAAUCCAUUAGUCGAACUCCUAUUCGUGCAAGUCUAUGCACCUCUUUUGCUAACUCUCUCUUACCUUUCUCAAAAUAGGAGGUAUUACCCAUUGAUAACCUGCUCAAGGCAUCAACAACAACAUUAACCUUGCCUGGGUGAUAAAAGAAUAUUCAUGUCAUUAUCUUUAAGUAACUUGAACAACCUCCUCUGUCUAAGAUUAAGCUCUUUCUGACUAAACACACAUCGAAGGUACUAGUGAUUGAUAAACACAUCUUAUGAACUCCAUAAAGAUAAUGGCACCAUAUAUUCACAGCGAAUACUACUGCAACAGACUCUAAGUCAUGGGUUGGGUAACUCUUCUCGUGAACCUUAAACUGGCUUGAGACAUAAGCUAUAACUUUGUCAGUCUGUAUUAACAUACAACAAAAUUAAACUCUAGAUGCAUCACAAUACACGACAAAACCUUGAGUACCUUUUGGUACGGUCAAAACUAGGCACUAGUCAACCUCUUUUUCUAUUCUUGAAAGAUUUUCUCACAAGCUUCAGACUAUUGAAACUUAAUUGUCUUCUUAUUCAACUUGGUAAAAGGAUAUGAAAUAGAAGUACCCCUCUAUGAACUUUCUAUAGUAGCCAGCAUAUCCCAAGAAACUACUAAUAUCAGUCGUAGAUGUGGGUCUAGGCCAACUCUGCACUACCUCUAUCUUUUGGGUAUCAACUCUAAUUCAAUCACCAGACACUAUGUGGACUAAGAACGCCACAAACUCAAGCCAAAACUCAUAUUUAGAGAACUUAGCAUAUAAAUCAUUAUCUUUCAAAGUAUGAAAAAUAUUCUGAGAUGUCUAGCAUGAUCUUCUCCAUUUCUCGAAUAGAUUAGAAUGUCAUCAAUGAAGACGAUAACAAACAUAUCUAAGUAAGGCUUGAAUAAACUAGUCAUAAGGUGCAUGAAUGUUGUUGGUGCAUUACUGAACCCAAAGGACAUGACUAAAAACUCAAAAUGACUACAUCGACAUCUGAAAGUUGUCUUUAGAAUAUCACAUUCCCUUAAUCUCAAUUGAUGGUAGCCAGAUCUGAUAUCUAUCUUAGAAAAAUAGGUGGCACCCUGAAUUUGAUCGAAUAAAUCAUUAAUCCUUUGAAGAUGAUACUUGUUCUUGAUGGUAACCUUUUUCAAUUUACGAUUGUCUAUACACAUCCUAAGGGAACCAUUUUUAUUUCUCACAAACAAGACCGGAGGGCCCCAAGGUGAGAUAAUUGGUCGAAAGAAACCCUUAUCUAAUUGAUCCUUUAACUUCUCUGUAAGCUCUUUCAAUUCUGCUAGUGCCAUUCUGUAUGACGAAAUAGAUAUAGGAUGAGUAUCUGGAAGAACAUCUAUACCGAAGCCUAUCUCACUCUCAGGAGAAAAUCUAGUAAUAUCGUCUAAACAGACCUCUGGAAACUCUUUUACUACUAGAGGUACCUCAACACUUGAGUCAUUAACUCGGACCAAGUAAUAGACACACCCUUUAGAAACUAACUUACUUUCUUUAAGGUACAAAAUGAAAUGACCCUUAGACACUAAUGAACGGCUUUUCCACUCUAAGACUGGCUCAUUUGGAGACUAAACAUGACUAUUCGAGUUCUAUAAUCAAGUGAGGCAGAAUAGGCAUGAAUCCAAUCCAUAUUGAGAUCGACUUCAAAACUACCAUAUCUAACUAAGUGAAAUCAUCCAUGGUACUCUUGUGAUUGAUGAAAAUGGGAAAAUCACAAUAUAUUCUCUCUGCUAGAAUGGACUCACCAAAAGGUGAAGAAACAUUUAACGGUUAAGUAAGUUCCUUAGGAAUAAUAUCAAAGUGUAACACCUUGAAAAUCAAAGACACAUUGUAAGGCCUAACAUAGGUGUCAUGACGUCUAAGUACUAUUAUAAUUUCAUUUUAAAUAAAUAUAGGUCAUUUAUAAGGGACGUCCAUUACGUUCAAAAAGUUGGUUCAAAGGGAUGUUAGUGUGCAUUAGCCUAUUUGACUAACUUUUAGGAGUCAGAAAUGUAAAAAAAUUGGUGGAAAGAUAGAUAAUAAGUGUUUGAGUGGCUUCAUGGUUGAAACGUCCGGGUACAACUCCCCAAAGACCAACCAAGGGCCCUUGAGGAGGACUCUUGUAGUUUGAUACAACACUGCCUGGCAAUGUGCAUCAACGGGACAGAAGACGUCCCAUGUGUGGACGGAAGUGGCGUCAAUGUCACCGUCAUCCCACACUUAGGCUGGUAGAGAAGGCCCUUUCACCCACACAACCUCUGAACUCAUUUGACGGAGUGCAAAGGUGCAGACUACGGCUCGUAUCUGGAUCGACGGGGCGUCGAUGCCAUCGUCGUCCCACACUUAAACAAUUUGAGAAAUCCCCUCACCUGCACAGUCCGACGGUUAAACAAUUUGAGAAAUCCCCUCACCUGCACAGUCCGACGGUUAAACAAUUUGAGAAAUCCCCUCACCUGCACAGUUCGACGGUUAAACAAUUUGAGAAAUCCCCUCACCUGCACAGUCUCUACAAAGAAGAAGGAGUGCAGGACGGAGGGGGGAUGUCCGUCGACUCACAUAAGGUCCGUCGAUCGGGGUUUCGUCUAUAAGGGUUGAGUUUUCUACCUAAUUUAAGUUGGUCUUAUUUAUUUAAUUAAGUGGUUUAGGGAUUAGUUGGGGAUUAAAUGGAGACUAAUUAACUUAUUAAGUCCCAUUAUAAAUACCCUCAACUCUCAUUAACCUAAAAACAACUCUCACAUGAACUCACUUCCUUCUCUCUUAUCUCUCUCUCUACAUGAACUCACCAUUGAAGACUAGCAAGGACAAGGGUUUCGAGGUUGGAAAGGGA
RNAcentral lists this long non-coding RNA (8029 nucleotides) under Solanum lycopersicum (tomato). Its description in RNAcentral is "long non-coding RNA (SLYC_LNC000217)". The record is from RNAcentral. Lineage: Eukaryota; Viridiplantae; Streptophyta; Magnoliopsida; Solanales; Solanaceae.